This 162-nucleotide ribosomal RNA is filed under the name uncultured bacterium. Its description in RNAcentral is "partial 16S ribosomal RNA". It matches the Rfam family "Bacterial small subunit ribosomal RNA", at positions 354 to 509 of the family's 1533-position model. The record is from RNAcentral.
GUAGGGAAUCUUCCACAUGGACGAAAGUCUGAUGGAGCAACGCCGCGUGAGUGAAGAAGGGUUUCGGCUCGUAAAGCUCUGUUGGUAGUGAAGAAAGAUAGAGGUAGUAACUGGCCUUUAUUUGACGGUAAUUACUUAGAAAGUCACGGCUAACUACGUGCC